GUUAAUAUAGUUUAACAAAACAUUAGGUUGUGGUCCUAAAAAUAGAAGUUUAACUCUUCUUAUUUA
RNAcentral lists this transfer RNA (66 nucleotides) under Sphenomorphus melanopogon. RNAcentral describes it as "tRNA-His". It matches the Rfam family "tRNA". Rfam says of the family: Transfer RNA (tRNA) molecules are approximately 80 nucleotides in length. Their secondary structure includes four short double-helical elements and three loops (D, anti-codon, and T loops). Further hydrogen bonds mediate the characteristic L-shaped molecular structure. tRNAs have two regions of fundamental functional importance: the anti-codon, which is responsible for specific mRNA codon recognition, and the 3' end, to which the tRNAs corresponding amino acid is attached (by aminoacyl-tRNA synthetases). tRNAs cope with the degeneracy of the genetic code in two manners: having more than one tRNA (with a specific anti-codon) for a particular amino acid; and 'wobble' base-pairing, i.e. permitting non-standard base-pairing at the 3rd anti-codon position. Lineage: Eukaryota; Metazoa; Chordata; Lepidosauria; Squamata; Scincidae. The record is from RNAcentral.